RNAcentral lists this ribosomal RNA (497 nucleotides) under uncultured bacterium. RNAcentral's name for it is "partial 16S ribosomal RNA". It matches the Rfam family "Bacterial small subunit ribosomal RNA", at positions 28 to 507 of the family's 1533-position model. The record is from RNAcentral.
GACGAACGCUGGCGGCGUGCCUAGUACAUGCAAGUAGAACGCUGAAGAGAGGAGCUUGCUCUUCUUGGAUGAGUUGCGAACGGGUGAGUAACGCGUAGGUAACCUGCCUUGUAGCGGGGGAUAACUAUUGGAAACGAUAGCUAAUACCGCAUAACAAUGGAUGACACAUGUCAUUUAUUUGAAAGGGGCAAUUGCUCCACUACAAGAUGGACCUGCGUUGUAUUAGCUAGUAGGUGAGGUAAUGGCUCACCUAGGCGACGAUACAUAGCCGACCUGAGAGGGUGAUCGGCCACACUGGGACUGAGACACGGCCCAGACUCCUACGGGAGGCAGCAGUAGGGAAUCUUCGGCAAUGGGGGCAACCCUGACCGAGCAACGCCGCGUGAGUGAAGAAGAUUUUCGGAUCGUAAAGCUCUGUUGUAAGUCAAGAACGGGUGUGAGAGUGGAAAGUUCACACUGUGACGGUAGCUUACCAGAAAGGGACGGCUAACUACGUG